UGGCAAGACUUGUACUAGGGCC
Molecule: microRNA, 22 nt
Filed under: Caenorhabditis brenneri
Lineage: Eukaryota; Metazoa; Nematoda; Chromadorea; Rhabditida; Rhabditidae
Description: cbn-miR-74d
Gene: cbn-miR-74d
Source: miRBase by way of RNAcentral